RNA transcript from Salvia splendens (bonfire salvia), 1563 nucleotides. It is a transcript of the gene named rhomboid-like protein 15, with no coding region annotated. The record is from RefSeq and is a predicted model, not a curated record. Lineage: Eukaryota; Viridiplantae; Streptophyta; Magnoliopsida; Lamiales; Lamiaceae. The transcript is spliced from 13 exons.
AUAGAGUAAGUGUUGAGUUUCCAAACUCUGAAGUAACGUAACAACUAAAAACCUUACAACUGAAAAUUCGAGAAGAUUUCGAAGCGAGAUGAGACCGAACGUAGUCUCCGAGGCGGGACUGUCCACCAGAGUAAACCAAUGGUGGGAAGCUAUUCCGUUUCUCACAUCAGUUAUUGUUGCUGUUUGUGGAGCCAUAUAUUUGGUCUGUCUGCUCGUUGGGUAUGACUCCUUUGUCGAAGUCUGUUUCUUGCCUUCAGCCGUUAUUUCCCAUUUUCAAGUUUACAGAGCUUUCACCUCUAUUGUAUUCCAUGGUUCUAUGCUGCAUGUUCUCUUCAAUAUGAUGGCAUUGGUUCCCAUGGGCUCGGAGCUGGAACGAAUUAUGGGAUCCAUCCGCUUGCUCUACAUAAUAAUCCUACUGGCCAUAAGCAGUGCCAUACUUCAUCUUGUCAUCGCAUUAGUAGCAGCUUAUAAUCCAAUUAGCUUUUACCCAGCUCUCAUGCAUCAGUGUUCUAUUGGUUUCUCUGGGAUCUUGUUCUCCAUGAUAGUCAUUGAAACAAGUCUUAGUGGAGUUCAAUCCCGAAGUUUCUUUGGGCUUUUUAAUGUCCCUGCAAAAUGGUAUGUGUGGAUAUUGUUAGUGGUAUUUCAGCUUCUUAUGGCAAAUGUCUCAUUACUUGGACACCUGUGUGGUAUUUUGUCUGGAUAUGCAUAUACUUUUGGGUUUUUCGACAUCUUGAUCCCUGGGGGUUCAUUCUAUUCAUCAAUUGAGGAGUCAUCCUUGCUUUCUGCUUGUGUGAGGAGACCUAAAUUCAUAUUGUCUACUGGCAGCAAUGUGUCUGGCCAUAUCCCCACAUAUACUAGUCAAAACACCGCUGCAAGUGGAUUACUUUCUGGAAAUACGUGGAGGAAUCUGUCUUCUUGGAUGCCACGGAGAGAAAGUUCCGUGGAGACAUCCCAAGGAAGUGAUAGGUUUCCUGGGAGAGGAAGAACUCUUGGUUCCGAGACAAAUCGAGCAGCUUCGGUUGGAAAUUCUGAAUCUAAUUUACAAGCUAGACUUCUGGAUGAUGUUGAUGACCGGGAUCAGCAAACAACUCCAUCAAGAGGCGGGGGAGGUCAGCCGAUGCCGGAUGGGAGGCCCCCAGUAGUGAGUAGUGCAGUGCAGCCUGCUAGAACGCAAAACAAACAGGGCUCUGUUGCUACUGAAGAGGAAAUCCAGAAACUCGUUGCUAUGGGCUUCGAUAGGGUAAAAGAGAUUAAACACAGGUAGAAGUAGCAAUUGCAGCUGCUGAUAGGGAUCUGAACGUUGCAGCUGAAAUCCUUAUGAGCCAACAGGGAUAGUCGAAAAGAAGCAUUCAGUGGAGUAGUACACACAAAAUCCACCCGCAAGAGAAGACUUCUUGACGACGUACUUUAGAAUUUCGAACGCGUUGCAUUGGUGUUGUACAGAAUUCAAACAUCUAACACAAAUACUACCAUAUACUCUACUUUUUUCAUCCUAGCCAAACUUGUAAAAAUCUGUAUUUCCGUGGGACAUCAAGCUUACAGUGGCAGUUCUUUACUGAAAAA